UUAGCAGUAGUAUAAUUAGUAUGUCUUCCUUCCAAGAAGGUGGUCCACAAGGGGUGGUUGCUAAA
RNAcentral lists this transfer RNA (65 nucleotides) under Kuphus sp. PMS-3700M. RNAcentral's name for it is "tRNA-Gly". Lineage: Eukaryota; Metazoa; Mollusca; Bivalvia; Myida; Teredinidae. The record is from RNAcentral.